CCUACGGGAGGCAGCAGUGGGGAAUAUUGGACAAUGGGGGCAACCCUGAUCCAGCCAUGCCGCGUGUGUGAAGAAGGCCCUCGGGUUGUAAAGCACUUUCAGUGAGGAAGAACGCCUGGUGGUUAAUACCCAUCAGGAAAGACAUCACUCACAGAAGAAGCACCGGCUAACUCCGUGCCAGCAGCCGCGGUAAUACGGAGGGGUGCGAGCGUUAAUCGGAAUUACUGGGCGUAAAGCGCGCGUAGGUGGCUUGAUAAGCCGGUUGUGAAAGCCCCGGGCUCAACCUGGGAACGGCAUCCGGAACUGUCAAGCUAGAGUGCAGGAGAGGAAGGUAGAAUUCCCGGUGUAGCGGUGAAAUGCGUAGAGAUCGGGAGGAAUACCAGUGGCGAAGGCGGCCUUCUGGACUGACACUGACACUGAGGUGCGAAAGCGUGGGUAGCAAACAGGAUUAGAUACCCGUGUAGUC
Molecule: ribosomal RNA, 466 nt
Filed under: Vreelandella stevensii
Lineage: Bacteria; Pseudomonadati; Pseudomonadota; Gammaproteobacteria; Oceanospirillales; Halomonadaceae
Description: partial 16S ribosomal RNA
Rfam family: Bacterial small subunit ribosomal RNA
Source: RNAcentral